CCCACCAGCCAGCCCAUAUAAUCCUUCAUCUGGCAACCCUAGGUUGCCUCUCUCCCCCACCAUUCAGCUGCCGCUGCCCCCGAUUGAGCCGCCGCCGCCUCAGAUUCGCCGUCGCCACCUCAGAAUCGCCGCCGCCGCCGACGAUUUGGACGCUGCCGCCGACGAUUCAGCCUCCGCCGCCCUGGAUUUGGCCUCUGCCGCCCUGGAUUUGGCCUCCGCCGCUCCCGAUUCAGCGCUGCCACCCUGAAACAACGCCGCCCCUUUCCCUUCUGUAGAACCCUAAAUCUCAUUUUGGGAGUAUAGUAUUUUUUUCAAAAAUCUUGAAUUAGAAUUUUUUUUCCAUAACAUUUGAAGUUACAUCUCAUAAAAUAAAAGUUCUAUAGUAAAGGUUCAAUAAAAAGAUUCUUCUAUAAAUAAUUCUUUGUUGAAGUUGAUAAGUAUUAUAAGGAUAAAAAUUAGAGCUUCGUUUAAUCGAGAUUAUACAAUCAAAAAUAUUGUUCAUAAAACAAUUAGGUGGAGUAUCAUAUCCAAAAGUAUGUACUUAUAAACAAAUAAAUAAAUAAUAAAUAAAUAUAUACUUUGCGUUAUGUUGGAGUUUUUUUGUGUUGUGCAUUUAACUGUAAAGUGAAUUUCCAGAACCCUGGUUGAAUUUGAACUUGGAAUCAAAAUUUGAAAACUAUAAAACAAAACUGAAAUUUAAAAGAAAAGAGAAUUGCAGUGAUCGUUGGUGGGCCGAAACCCCCAGCCCUGGGCCAUCCUUCUGCCUCUCCACUCGCUUGCCCAUUCUACCUCAGCCAUGCGCUGACGACUAGGGCCGGGUCGUCAGCCUAACCAGCCGUACCGUGAUUUCCCCGCCACGUGGGUCCCGUUCGUCAGAUCGUCCUCUUCCUGUAACAAACUUGCGCGGUGUUCCGUAACCAAUCCCCGCAAGCUCCUCUCCUUGGUUGUCCCCUACCUCGUGGUCGGACCGCCGCUGCCGAUGCCGCGAUUCACGCGCUGAACCAGCGUUCCGUUGCCGUUUUCCCUGGAUCGAUGGCUAGUAUUUAUAAAAGCCGGAGGUCGGGUUCCCUUUCCCCAUCUAUCCUCUGGAAGCAAGCUUCUGUCGACACCGUGGGAGCGGGUUAGAGUGCGGUGCGGAGGAGAGAGGCCUGCCGCAUCCUGGGCUCGCCGGUGCUGCCCUUCUACACCAGUGGGGUGGUUCUGGGGCUUCGCAAGCACGCGGGGAAGCUUUGCCUGGUUCGUGCGCAUCGGGGUUGUGGCCGGAGCCUGGGUAAUUUCUCGACGGAAUUUCGGCCUCCAUGGUGUUGCCACCGAGCACCGCAGAUUGGACACGUGAUCGCAUAACAGAAGGUAAAUAACCAAUUGAAUCACUUCCCCAUGUCCUUUCAAUCGUAUUUACGCAAAUUGGGGCGGAAACCAGGCAACGGGGGCACCGGUGCGUCGUGCUCCGGCGGGAUUCCGCCGUGCAGACUGGGCGGCGCCGCCGCGCUCUGGCGUCGGGCGGGGAAGACGCCUCGUCACCGUCAGAUCACUUGUGGGCGGUUGAGAUUAGAUCGACCCAUACCCCUUCACUCGAUUAAAUCUGUGUCGUCGGUUGCAGGCUUUGCGGUCGAGAUUGGGUUACGGCGUGGAUGCCUCACGACCAUCAGAUCUUAAUCUAGCGGCUGUCGUUGGAUACUGAGUUAGGUUUUAUAAAAAAAUCUAAUCGCAGCCGUCAGAUAGAGAUCCAACGGCCCAAAUAGCCCGAUACCCCUUUGCCCUGGCCUAUUUGCUAAAGAGACCCCGUAAUCUUUACAAAUUAACCCGCCGUCCGUGGGCGAUGAUCAUUGAGUCUAGGGAAUUGUUACAGAUUGGACCCUGAGUUUUGUAUUAUUUGGUGCCCAGUCCAGAACACUUAGGAUAUUCAGGAAUUAAUAAAGAAAUAGGUUUUUAGUAUGAAAAUAAUUCCAUAAACUUGCAUAAUUCAUAGUUAAUUCAUUUUAACUCCAAAUUGAGUCAUUUCAGUUGCAAUAAUUUUGUAUUAAUGUUGUUUACCACCUCGUACCUUUGUUUAACCAUGAAACUUGAAUUAAAAUUUGCGCAAUUGAAUUAAUCUAUUCUAGGUGCUAAGUAAUUUCGAAAAUUCAUAACUUAAUAACCGUAGCUCCGAAUUUAGUGGUUCUUGUUUCUACGAUCUCGUUAUGGCGCGUAGAUUAUUAUCACAUAGUUUAUUCUUAUGUUUGGUGUAAUGUUAAUUUUUGCCUAUACCAUGUUUGUCUGUAUUGAUACGUUUAGCAGUGAGGACACGCGUCAUCUGAAGAGCAAGUUGGUACCUGGAAUCUCAAGUGCCAGGCAAGUUGUGCCCUUGAUCACUUCUUUUUACCCACUCAUGUUCUAAUUAAUCAUAAUGAUCUGCAUAGGUUAAUUUUGAUGGGACCCAAUAGGUUACCCUAGUUUGUCUAUCUUUAUACCUUGUUUACCACUGAACUUUUUGGGUAGUACUUGCUAGUGCUUUAUGUGGUUUUGGGUAUGAAGAUACAUUAUUCAUGAUUACACUUUUAUUAUCUGUUUAUUAUCACUGUUCAUGGUAAGAUCAUUAUGUUAAUUGGAACAUGGAGCGACCACCCGGGAAAACAGUGCUACCACAAGGGUUUAUGGACGCCCUUGGCUGAUUAAUUAGGAAAGCUAGUGGAAGACUACCUUACCCGAAAGGGGCAAGGGCAGUAGGGGAGUGGUCAGUGUAGGGAGGUCCUUGGUUGAUUUUGCUGCGAUGGCGGUCAGGCAAGAACCCUGCAUUGGAGCUUCCUAUAAACUGUAGCGGGUUUUCUGAAGCUAGUGGAACUUUGUAAAGGCCUCGUAGUGUUACCCUGCCUCGCCUCCUCGGUAGAGGUGUAUGGGAAGUCGCGAUCCCUUGGCAGAUGGGUAACAUGACUUGUGGGUAAAGAUGCGCAACCUCUGCAGAGUGUAAAACUGGUAUACUAGCCGAGCUCACGGUCAUGAGCAGCUCAGGACUCUCUGAUGAUUAAUUUAUGGAACUUAAAUUCAAUUUGUCAUAUGCAUUGCAUCGCAGGUGAUGUUGUUACUUCUGUUCUACUACUUAAUUGGGUUGGUAUUUACUUAUACUUAGUAAUUGCUAAUAAAAUUUUGACCAACUUUAAAAGCAAUGCUCAGCUUCAACCAUCUCCGUUGGUAAGCCUUACACUUCACGUGAGCUCCCACCUUUGGCGAGUUCAUGCACAUUAUUCCCCACAACUUGUUGAGCGAUGAACGUAUGUGAGCUCACUCUUGCUGUCUCACACCCCCCCCACAGGUCAAGAACAGGUACCACAGGACGAGGCGCAAGGAGGAUGCUGCGAUAAGUUCGUGAGAGAUCUAGGUCGUCGUCUCCCAGUCAACUUUGGGUUGCUGGACCGUUGUCUCCUUAUAUGUAAUUAUUUAUUUUGUAUAGAACUCCUAUUAUAUAGUAAAGUUGUGACAUUCGAUCCUUUGCCAUGAUUCAUCAUAUGUGUGAGACUUGGUCCCAGCACACCUGAUGAUUAUGUUCGCCCCGGGUCUUGGUGCCCCCGAAAUCCGGGUGUGACAGAAGUGGUAUCAGAGGAAUGUUGACUGUAGGACGAAACCUAGAUAGAGAUGAACAUAACCAUUACCUACUUACCUUACUCUGAUUCUUUCUAUACUUAUCUUGAUCAUGUUUCACCUUCUACUAGUCUACUCUGAUUAGCCUUACCUUUGCCACUCUGAUUCUUUUCUAAACUUUUCUUAAUCUUUUCUCAUCUAUUUCCGCUUUACUCUGAUUAUUUUUACCUUUUCUUUCUAAAGACAAAUGUGGAUUUCACACUCUGAAAUCCUGUACCUAAAGUGACCUUUAGGAAUAGGAGACCUACACUUAGGAACAAAAUCAAAACUAUUUUUGUCAAUAUUUGUAUGAUUGAAUGUUUGUUCUUAUGAUACUUGUUUGAUUUGGAUCUUUGAUUGAGUGUGAUGAGUUGUGGAGUAAUGUCCACAAUUACAUUUACAUAUACGUAUAGACAUAAAUAUAAAUAAAUAAAUCAUAAGAUGACUAUACAAACUAAGAAUGUUCCCCAUUAAAAGUAUAUCUAACCUAAUAGCUCCAUCUUGUCUUGAAAGAUUCUUUCUUAUCUUAAUAGACUCAUCUUAUCUUGAAAAGAUUCUAUCUUAUCCUAAUAGAUCUAACUGACCUCAAAAGAUUCUACCUUGUCCUUAUGGAUUCAUCUUGCCCUAAUAAGCAUAUUUAUCCCACACUAGUGUAACCACCAUGAGCUAAUCCAAAAUUUAUUUAGAUCUUAACUAAUCUAAUCUAGUCAUAUCCAACCUAAUCUACAUUUUAUCUAAUCUAUUAUGAUCUAAUCUAGAGUAAAUUACUUAAUGCUGGUACAAAAGAUAAGGCCAUACCCCUCAUGCACUAAAAAAACUAGUGCCUUAAACCAACUCAGCCACAUACAUGAGAUCUGAUCCAACCAAAAGAGUCAUGAAGAAUUGCAUAAUCUGUCUAUCCCCACCUAACAUCAAACAAACUUUGACCUACAUCAUGUAGUCCAUCUCACCCAUAACUAUUUCAACCAUAUGUCCCAACUCUGAUGAUAUACCCUGACCCCGACUCAAUGAGACCAAGACUGGAAAAGGAAAAGAUCAACCCCGUCAAGAAGAAGAGCUGGUUGAAGAUGAAGUAGUCGGUGAAGAAGUCAACGAACAACAAGAAUAGAGAUAAACAUAAACAUAGAUACAUAUAUACAUAUUUUACUAUUUGUAAGACCUAAAUAUUAGUUUAGCUAGUAGUAGUAUUUUACUAUUUUAGUAAUAAUAAUAAGGUCUAAUUGACCCAUGUGUUGCUAAUAAAGUAUGCAUCAUGCUGAUAUUUUUGUGUGUGCAUAUGUUCUGAGAUGACAUAGUUAUACACCUUUUCUUACAAAUCUCGAGGACGAGAUUUCUGUUAAGGGGGGUAGGAUUUGUAGAACCCUAAAUCUCAUUUUGGGAGUAUAGUAUUUUUUUUUCAAAAAUCUUGAAUUAGAAUUUUUUUCCAUAACAUUUGAAGUUACAUCUCAUAAAAUAAAAGUUCUAUAGUAAAGGUUCAAUAAAAAGAUUCUUCUAUAAAUAAUUCUUUGUUGAAGUUGAUAAGUAUUAUAAGGAUAAAAAUUAGAGCUUCGUUUAAUCGAGAUUAUACAAUCAAAAAUAUUGUUCAUAAAACAAUUAGGUGGAGUAUCAUAUCCAAAAGUAUGUACUUAUAAACAAAUAAAUAAAUAAUAAAUAAAUAUAUACUUUGCGUUAUGUUGGAGUUUUUUUGUGUUGUGCAUUUAACUGUAAAGUGAAUUUCCAGAACCCUGGUUGAAUUUGAACUUGGAAUCAAAAUUUGAAAACUAGAAAACAAAACUGAAAAUUAAAAGAAAAGAGAAUUGCAGUGAUCGUUGGUGGGCCGAAACCCCCAGCCCUGGGCCAUCCUUCUGCCUCUCCACUCGCUUGCCCAUUCUACCUCAGCCAUGCGCUGACGACUAGGGCCGCCUAACCAGCCGUACCGUGAUUUCCCCGCCACGUGGGUCCCAUUCGUCAGAUCGUCCUCUUCCUGUAACAAACUUGCGCGGUGUUCCGUAACCAAUCCCCGCGAGCUCCUCUCCUUGGUCGUCCCCUACCUCGUGGCCGGACCGCCGCUGCCGAUGCCGCGGUUCACGCGCUGAACCAGCGUUCCGUUGCCGUUUUCCCUGGACCGAUGGCUAGUAUUUAUAAAAGUCGGAGGUCGGGUUCCCUUUCCCCAUCUAUCCUCUGGAAGCAAGCUUCUGUCGACACCGUGGGAGCGGGUUAGAGUGCGGUGCGGGGGAGAGAGGCCCGCCGCAUCCUGGGCUCGUCGGUGCUGCCCUUCUACACCAGUGGGGUGGUUCUGGGGCUUCGCAAGCACGCGGGGAAGCUUUGCCUGGUUCGUGCGCAUCGGGGUUGUGGCCGGAGCCUGGGUAAUUUCUCGACGGAAUUUCGGCCUCCGUGGUGUUGCCACCGAGCACCGCAGCUUGGACACGUGAUCGCAUAACAGAAGGUAAAUAACCAAUUGAAUCACUUCCCCAUGUCCUUUCAAUCGUAUUUACGCAAAUUGGUGCGGAAACCAGGCAACGGGGGCACCGGUGCGUCGUGCUCCGGCGGGAUUCCGCCGUGCAAACUGGGCGGCGCCGCCGCGCUCUGGCGUCGGGCGGGGAAGACGCCUCGUCACCGUCAGAUCACUUGUGGGCGGUUGAGAUUAGAUCGACCCAUACCCCUUCACUCGAUUAAAUCUGUGCCGUCGGUUGCAGGCUUUGCGGUCGAGAUUGGGUUACGGCGUGGAUGCCUCACGACCAUCAGAUCUUAAUCUAGCGGCUGUCGUUGGAUACUGAGUUAGGUUUUAUAAAAAAAUCUAAUCGCAACCGUCAGAUAGAGAUCCAACGGCCCAAAUAGCCCGAUACCCCUUCGCCCUGGCCUAUUUGCUAAAGAGACCCCGUAAUCUUUACAAAUUAACCCGCCGUCUGUGGGCGAUGAUCAUUGAGUCUAGGGAAUUGUUACAGAUUGGACCCUGAGUUUUGUAUUAUUUGGUGCCCAGUCCAGAACACUUAGGAUAUUCAGGAAUUAAUAAAGAAAUAGGUUUUUAGUAUGAAAAUAAUUCCAUAAACUUGCAUAAUUCAUAGUUAAUUCAUUUUAACUCCAAAUUGAGUCAUUUCAGUUGCAAUAAUUUUGUAUUAAUGUUGUUUACCACCUCGUACCUUUGUUUAACCAUGAAACUUGAAUUAAAACUUGCGCAAUUGAAUUAAUCUAUUCUAGGUGCUAAGUAAUUUCGAAAAUUCAUAACUUAAUAACCGUAGCUCCGAAUUUAGUGGUUCUUGUUUCUACGAUCUCGUUAUGGCGCGUAGAUUAUUAUCACAUAGUUUAUUCUUAUGUUUGGUGUAAUGUUAAUUUUUGCCUAUACCAUGUUUGUCUGUAUUGAUACGUUUAGCAGUGAGGACACGCGUCAUCUGAAGAGCAAGUUGGUACCUGGAAUCUCAAGUGCCAGGCAAGUUGUGCCCUUGAUCACUUCUUUUUACCCACUCAUGUUCUAAUUAAUCAUAAUGAUCUGCAUAGGUUAAUUUUGAUGGGACCCAAUAGGUUACCCUAGUUUGUCUAUCUUUAUACCUUGUUUACCACUGAACUUUUUGGGUAGUACUUGCUAGUGCUUUAUGUGGUUUUGGGUAUGAAGAUACAUUAUUCAUGAUUACACUUUUAUUAUCUGUUUAUUAUCACUGUUCAUGGUAAGAUCAUUAUGUUAAUUGGAACAUGGAGCGACCACCCGGGAAAACAGUGCUACCACAAGGGUUUAUGGACGCCCUUGGCUGAUUAAUUAGGAAAGCUAGUGGAAGACUACCUUACCCGAAAGGGGCAAGGGCAGUAGGGGAGUGGUCAGUGUAGGGAGGUCCUUGGUUGAUUUUGCUGCGAUGGCGGUCAGGCAAGAACCCUGCAUUGGAGCUUCCUAUAAACUGUAGCGGGUUUUCUGAAGCUAGUGGAACUUUGUAAAGGCCUCGUAGUGUUACCCUGCCUCGCCUCCUCGGUAGAGGUGUAUGGGAAAUUGGGAAGUCACGAUCCCUUGGCAGAUGGGUAACAUGACUUGUGGGUAAAGAUGUGCAACCUCUGCAGAGUGUAAAACUGGUAUACUAGCCGAGCUCACGGUCAUGAGCAGCUCAGGACUCUCUGAUGAUUAAUUUAUGGAACUUAAAUUCAAUUUGUCAUAUGCAUUGCAUCGCAGGUGAUAUUGUUACUUCUGUUCUACUACUUAAUUGGGUUGGUAUUUACUUAUACUUAGUAAUUGCUAAUAAAAUUUUGACCAACUUUAAAAGCAAUGCUCAGCUUCAACCAUCUCCGUUGGUAAGCCUUACACUUCACAUGAGCUCCCACCUUUGGCGAGUUCAUGCACAUUAUUCCCCACAACUUGUUGAGCGAUGAACGUAUGUGAGCUCACUCUUGCUGUCUCACACCCCCCCACACAGGUCAAGAACAGGUACCACAGGAUGAGGCGCAAGGAGGAUGCUGCGAUAAGUUCGUGAGAGAUCUAGGUCGUCGUCUCCCAGUCAACUUUGGGUUGCUGGACCGUUGUCUCCUUAUAUGUAAUUAUUUAUUUUGUAUAGAACUCCUAUUAUAUAGUAAAGUUGUGACAUUCGAUCGUGUGUCAUGAUUCAUCAUAUGUGUGAGACUUGGUCCCAGCACACCUGGUGAUUAUGUUCGCCCCGGGUCUUGGUGCCCCCGAAAUCCGGGUGUGACACCUUCCCCUAUGCCCUAUGCCCUCUUGCUGCUUCUCACCUAGGCGACGGGGACGCCUUGGAUCCUUCGGGCGCCUGGACGCCUAGGCGUCGCCUAGGCGACGCCUUUAAAACAAGGGCAAUGAUAUUAUCUCCUGCUGCUACUAACUAGCAGACAAUUGCUUGGAUCCUUGGGAUGAAAAUGGAUGUGAACCGGCAUAAAGUAUGGUAAGCU
Molecule: long non-coding RNA, 8451 nt
Filed under: Zea mays
Lineage: Eukaryota; Viridiplantae; Streptophyta; Magnoliopsida; Poales; Poaceae
Description: long non-coding RNA (ZMAY_LNC001180)
Source: RNAcentral